GGGUAAAAGAAUAUUACAGGCAUUACUGAGAGCUAUCGUUGAAGAUUUUUUCAAUUCGCUGAAUAUCGACAUAUGUUCACUUUAUGAGUGGAGACAUUUUAGAUAUCCUUUCGUCUUCCAGUAGCGCAUAUGGAUCUAUAUAUGGUGGGGGAGAUACAGGAAUAUCGCUGCCAUCAUGCACGAAACUUGACCCAAAGUAGAAGUACAUGGCUGCAAAGAUC
This 221-nucleotide unclassified non-coding RNA is filed under the name Hevea brasiliensis (rubber tree). Lineage: Eukaryota; Viridiplantae; Streptophyta; Magnoliopsida; Malpighiales; Euphorbiaceae. The record is from RNAcentral.